RNAcentral lists this ribosomal RNA (222 nucleotides) under Triticum aestivum (bread wheat). Its description in RNAcentral is "partial small subunit ribosomal RNA". Lineage: Eukaryota; Viridiplantae; Streptophyta; Magnoliopsida; Poales; Poaceae. The record is from RNAcentral.
AUACCACACUUGAAACCAGUGGGGCACCAGUCCACAAACUGGAUGGUGCGCUUCGUCUUGAUGGUGGCCACAGCGGCGUUGACAUCCUUGGGCACAACAUCACCACGGUACAUGAGGCAGCAGGCCAUGUACUUGCCGUGGCGGGGGUCACACUUGGCCAUCAUGGAGGAAGGCUCGAAGGCGCUGUUGGUGAUCUCGGCAACAGAGAGCUGCUCAUGGUAA